Long non-coding RNA from Erpetoichthys calabaricus (reedfish), 5662 nucleotides. RefSeq lists it as uncharacterized. The record is from RefSeq and is a predicted model, not a curated record. Lineage: Eukaryota; Metazoa; Chordata; Cladistia; Polypteriformes; Polypteridae. The transcript is spliced from 2 exons.
UGUGCACGGUUCAGUUGCGUAAGCUUUGACGUUUAGACUGGGAAGUUCUUCUCCAUUGUAUUUAAUGUUCUUGGUAUUGUUUAGGAUCUCCUGAUGCUCUGAUCUGGGCCUGCUCUUCAUGGUAGUUAUGAUCUUCACUUUUUUCCAAACAAUGUUAGCAGUCUUUGAAAUGUGGCAGCCGAAGUUGAAUUGUAGAAAGAAGGCCGAGAACAAAGUUGACACAAGGUGAUAAACAGUUGCAAGAAAAUGCGAAUCCUUUGAAAUUAAAUGGAUUUCUGCAUGAGUUAUUCCUAAGAGUACUAUUAUGGAACAAUAGACUGUAGCAGUGCUACUACUAGUUAAAACUGCAUCUCCCAGCAGUCCCUGCAGGGGCUGUUGGAGGUCGAAGGUGGCCAGAGGGGUUUAAAAGAAGGGCAGGUGUCCGAAAGGUGAGGCGUGUUUUUUUGUUGUUGUAUUUAGUGUUUCGUUUACCUGUCGGACUGCCUUCUGUUACUUACGCCAUAUUUAGUCGCUGUGUCCUGGAUUGUAUUCGUUGUUGGGGUCUGGGUCGUCUUCUGUCUACCAGUGUGCUGAGGACUGAUUGUGGAUUCAUGGCUUUCCCGCAAAUAUAGGAGCGCUCUGAACGUCCUCCCAUCUGUCCUCACCCUUACAGUGUCUACCGGCUAUGAUCCACACCAGGUCAGCAGACGGUCCUGUGUUUAGUGGUCAAGGAUGCGAAGGUUACCAGAGACGAUCUUGUUCUCCAGCACCGCUCCUGCCGGGAUGUCAAUUCUGUCACCGUGGUUGGCAAUGAUGAUGACAGUGCCCUGGAAAGAGAAAAAAAAUAAAAGCACAGGGGGGUUCGUGUUGUGUCAGCAGUGGCGCCAAACAUCUGCCCUGUGACAGACUCAUGUCCAGUCCUAGGACUGGCUUCUACCAGGACGGGUCCCAGUUGCCAUAAUGGGAGUUCACAAAAUGGAUGGAUCUGUUAAUAUAUUCUUGGUUUUUUAUUAAAUAUGCGAGUUAUAAAAAAUCCUGUUGCUUAAAAAAUAUUAAGGCAUUUCACAAAGAAAAAGUCACGCGAGAGGUGUCUGCCAGCGGCUCGGAUUCAGAGUGACCUCGGUGGGCUCUCUGCACUCAUCACACUCUUGAUGGGCCACCGCUUAGCGCGACUUCUUGCCUGCCAUAGUUCUGAAAAACAUUAAUUACACAGAAGACCCUCGUCUUACACAAAGAAUACGUCCCAUGGCACUGCAAGUGCGGGAAGGUGACAUUUAGUGAACGUCCCAGGACAGCGUUACCAGUCAGGAACAGCUACACUGGUUUGGCCUGUAAAUCUGCCUACGUGACAAUGGCUUCAAAUAGAAAUGGAUGUCACCAAUACAGACGUACUUGAUGGGUGUGCCGGGCUCACAGCCCGAGGCUACAGCGUUCUGAAUGAGUCCGACAUGGCCGGAGUUACAAUAAAAGUGUCGUUUUACAAAAACCCUAAGUGAGCCAGAUGUGAACUGCAUGUGGAGUGAUGGAGCAAGUCUAGUCGUAUUUUAGAUUAGACAUUCUUAAAGAGCAUUUAGUGGAUUGUGGAAGGCGAGUUUUCUGAAAUGGUAGACGGUGGCAGAGGCUCUAGGCCCCUACGGACACACUGCCUAUACGGAGAGUUCAGCCCUUGGAAGUUUUCACUUUUUAUUCUUGUACAUCACUGAGUGCUUCUAACUUGGCUUUUUAAAAACUGAACAACAGAAGAAGACUUUUUGAUGUCAAACUAGAAAAGUGGCCCAACUGAAUUAAAAAUAUGAAAUACAAAACUAAGUGAUCGCCAUAGUAGAGGGCCACCAUGACAGCCCUGUAUGCACAGGUCUCGAUCAACUUUGCACAUCUGGACACUGCAUGCGUCUUCCAAAGCUCUCAAUCUCUGCGACAUGUCGUACUGACCGGGAGUCGAGGGCCUCUUUCAGGUCCAGCUGCCCACUCUCAACUAGACGGAGAUCUACUCCAGCCCUUCAGUAACACUGUGGCCUUGAACUCCUGGACUGCCUUACAUCCCAAUACUGAUAACACGAAAAGUUAAACUGAUGGGCACUUUUUUACAGCAACGCCUAUAAACUAAUCAAUCACAUCAGUAUUUAGUAGAUGGACCUCUGGUCACCAUGACAGCCUUACAUCUGUGUAGACACCAAUGGCGAGUGAAAUACGCUUUGUAAAGUACAAUAAAAUGGACGACUGCCUUCAGCAGCGUUCCCCAAUCUGUUUUUCGUGGUGGGACACCACUCUCUUACUAACCCCAAGUGUCUGAAGGGGCGAGACUCCCACAGAAGCCAGUAAAACAGCAGCUCCGAGAUCACUGCUCACAGACACGACACUUGGUGAGCACUUUGGUGGCAUCUCUCAACUGCAUUGAUCCUUUGCCCUCUCCUCUUUGGCUAAGGGGCAACUUGUAUGCCCACUAACCACUGGCCCUGUGAGACUUGCUGGUAACCACACAGCCUGGCAGAUGGACUCUAGUAGCCUGGAGAUGCGUCUAAAGAGCUCCAUGUGUGCAACCGAGCGAUCACGGAGAUGCUUUUAUGCCACCUUCUCCUGGUAGUCUGGUAGUCCUGUCUUCCUCAGACAGGUCACCAUCACCUACCGAGCUUGUCCCACUCAGGUUCAGACCCAGGUAAGCUACGCUAUUAUUUCCAUGGCACAACUGGGUGGUUCUCAUGGCACACUACUUGAAAAACUGGGGUCUUCAAGUAAUUGUAUUAAAUAUUGUACAAAACAGUUCUACAGUACAAUAUCUUAGGAACAGAAAUAAAUGUCCAGUUUUCCAUCUUGCCCACGCUUAUUCUGCAUUCCCUGGUAGCUGUGGACAGCACUGUAGCCGCCAACACGGUCUGUAAAUCUUGGGCUUUCACACUGGAUACUUGUGAGCCACCAGAAAACACGACAUUCUCAGUCGUUCUUAGUCUACUUCAGGGACACUGGGCGCGAUGUGCACUUGAAGCCUUGUGAAGACAGAAUCAUGGGAAACAGCAGGCUACGUGGCAAAUGUGCAGACAACUUCAGCAAUGAAUGGCAGGCAAUCACCUUAACUCAAUGUUUCAUAACCUGAGUAAAUCAGAAUGCUCCACAAACUUGAGAGAAGCUUAGCUGCAUGUUAAGAAAGGUACAGACAGGCAGCGGUGGUACACCCGAGUUCUACAGGAUCGUGGCUAAGCUGUAAAGUGUUACUCAAUGGUAAAAUUAAAAAGAAAUGCGGCCAUCUUCACCAAUUAAAGAGAGGUGGGUCCUCCAGGGCCAAUGCUGUGUUCAACAAGAGCGGGCACACCAGUGUGAGCAACAAGCAACCAUCGGCAUUUAUGACAAAUUAGUUGCUCAUACUUGUUGUUACCACACUUAAUGCCUUACAGACUUUUUUUGUAUUUCUAAUCUCUUUUAAGUAUAUCUGUAUGCAGAGUAUGAGGGAGAGAAAAGCCAGCAGACAUAUUUGAGUAACGUGUGGUCACCUGUAUGGUGCGUGAGUUGCUGUCACAAUGCAAGCAUUACGAGCCUCUCCGGUAUUUCAAGUAAGACGGGACAUGCUGGUCACACAGAUUGAGGCCGAUCGCCUCCUUUUGCACAUUCAAGCCAAUUGUGGUUUUGUGAAGUAAUAAGUUAUGUUGAAGCACAGUUUCUGUGUAUACCACACCUAUCGAGUAUUACUACAUCGUCAAAGCCAAAAUAUUAACGUUUUCGUAUGUUAAUUGAAGAUCUAAACAGUCUAAUAAUUACCAGCAGGUAUCCCUGAAUGUGCUUUCUGCAAGUUGACUACUGAAUAUUUUUAGAAUGCCUAAGACACACAGAAUUGACCUCUGGCGAUGUCACAAACAGCACCACGUCGAACAAGGCCUUUAGAUAAGCUCUUAGUACCUUAAGACCAACAUUCUUCCCAAAAGUUACAUCCCCUGAAACAGUGAGGUGAUCCAGUUCAAGCAUGUCAGGUAUGCUCUCCAGCCGUCGCAAAUAAUCCUGGACCUACAGAGGCAAAACGAAGGGUGAUGGUUAGCAAGGAAAGCCCAUUGAAGGAAAGAAAACCAGCAUCCACGUCAGGACCCACAUUCGAUACCCACAUCUGCCUAAUUAGGCUUAGAUUUUAUUCUUAAUAAAAAUACAUUCUUCUGACAUAUUGCUAAUACAAACAAUUGACAUUGCACAGGUAGUAUAUUACGAUAGCUUUUUCUCCUUGCCCAAUAUUUUAAUUAUAGCAUAAGAACACCAAGUUUCGGUCUCCUGUUUUCUUUCCUAUCAACUUGGCUCUGGCAUCUCUGGAUGUGCUCUGAUGUCAGAAAAAAAAAAAAAUGCACAGCAGGUGUGUAUCAGCACUGUCUCACUUUUUAAUAUUUUAAUACGCAAAUGAAGACGACAUUUUUAAUGUCAAAUAUUAUAUUUUGCCAUAGAUCACGUUGUAAGCCGUUCUUUAGUCCAUUUAUUUAGUCCACCUUGAAUCACCUGGUUGAACAAUGGUGCCUCACCUGCUUGAUUUACCGUUCUGUCCUUCUCAUCAAUACCAUUAGCAUUCAGCGACAAGUACAACUGUCAUUUUUCAAAAUGUAUUCACGCUUGUAUUAAAAAUCAGUCGUCUUCUACGGAACCCACUGCAUACACAGCAGAAUCAAUACUGUGCUUUUUACUGGCAUUGAAUAAAACUGCACUUCAGCUCAGAUUUAUUUUAAAUAUGUCAGAAAAAUAAGUAGACCACACAGACACUGGCUGACCACUUUCAGAAUAAUCAGAAUUCUUAACGGAGCAACGAUGUGCCAAGCCUGAAAUACUUAACUCAUAAUCUUAGUAGCGCGAUGAAAGGCCUAAUAAAACAAACAAACAAUCAGAACGAGCUUGACACAGAAAAAAAAAUACCUGCUCCCUGAAAUUCUCGAUGGGAUUAACAACACAAAACAAUGUCUUAUGGCUGACAAACGCGAUCAAAAGCAAGAGACUGCCAAGUACAAUAUGUCUUAUCCAUUACUCAUUACAGGGUCACGGCGAGCGACUCAAGUCUACAGGGCACACACUCACACUCAUUUAGGGGGCAAUUAGUCCCACAUUCGGCUGAUAUGCAUGUCUUUGUGAUAUGAAAAGAAAAUACAGGCAAACAUGGGUUCAGUCUGUAGCGGUGCUACUAGAGUGCGAAACUCCCAGCAGUCCCCGCAGUGGCUCUGAUUGGACUUCUGCUGAGGGUGCAGGGGCUGUUGGGGUCAAAAGAGGAGGUCAGUGCGGCCUUUAAAAAGGGGGCUAGUGACCAAAAGGAAAAAAAGGUAUUUUGUGUUUCAAGCUCCUGUCUGUCUGCAUUCUGUCGCGUUACCUGUGCUUAUUCAUUUGUCCUGUGGAUCGUUUCUUGGUCAGGGUCUGGAUUGUCUGCCUGAGGACUGUCUGGGGAUUUAUGGCCAUCCUGUGAAGAAAGGAGCGCUCCUGAUCCUGUCCACCCGUCUUCACCAUUUCAGGAACUAGCAGUAGGACUAUCUUUACAUUCCCAUUCAACAUGCUGCUCUCUGGACUAUCUAUUUUCAUCAUCACAUCAUCAUCUGUUGCCGUUUCCCGUGGACUUUACAGUGAAUGUUUAUUGUUGUGGUUUGUUUUCGUGUUUAUUGUAAAUCGCGGAAAAGGAACUGAGGUGGGAUUGUUGUUUUCAUUAUCAGUGUUAAUAUAUUCUUUAUUUGCUAUUUUA